RNAcentral lists this transfer RNA (77 nucleotides) under Clostridiaceae bacterium. Its description in RNAcentral is "tRNA-Gln". It matches the Rfam family "tRNA". Rfam says of the family: Transfer RNA (tRNA) molecules are approximately 80 nucleotides in length. Their secondary structure includes four short double-helical elements and three loops (D, anti-codon, and T loops). Lineage: Bacteria; Bacillati; Bacillota; Clostridia; Eubacteriales; Clostridiaceae. RNAcentral also lists the same sequence under 1 other name. The record is from RNAcentral.
UGGGAUGUAGCCAAGUCGGUAAGGCACGGGACUUUGACUCCCGCAUUUCGUAGGUUCGAGUCCUGCCAUCCCAGCCA